UACGUAGGGUGCAAGCGUUGUCCGGAAUUAUUGGGCGUAAAGAGCUCGUAGGCGGUUUGUCGCGUCUGCUGUGAAAAUCCGAGGCUCAACCUCGGACUUGCAGUGGGUACGGGCAGACUAGAGUGUGGUAGGGGAGACUGGAAUUCCUGGUGUAGCGGUGGAAGUGACGCAGAUAUCAGGAGAAACACCGAUGGCGAAGGCAGGUCUCUGGGCCAUUACUGACACUGAGAAGCGAAAGCAUGGGGAGCGAACAGG
This 255-nucleotide ribosomal RNA is filed under the name uncultured bacterium. Its description in RNAcentral is "partial 16S ribosomal RNA". It matches the Rfam family "Bacterial small subunit ribosomal RNA", at positions 524 to 776 of the family's 1533-position model. The record is from RNAcentral.